GGUGGGAGUGGGUGGGGGCCCAGGGAGGAGCCCAGUUUGGAUCUUAAGGACAGAGACUGGGCUGGGACUAGGGUGAGGCCAGAACCCAGAGGAAGGAGAUGGGAGAGAGGUCUGAAGUCAGAGGGCUAGUGUUUGUCCCUGUGUCCACUCCCCCAGGGAGAGGGAGUGGAGACGGUGAGAGGAAGAAAGGGCAGUCCAGAGCUGGUUCCAUCAGCGAAACCCCAGGGGCAGCAACUUGGCCUGGCUUGGCCCCUCACUGUGGGAUCUGGGUGCAGCCCUUCCUUGCUUGAGCCUCAGUUUCCCCACCCUGCCAGAGGGAGGGUUUUAGGAG
This 331-nucleotide long non-coding RNA is filed under the name Homo sapiens (human). RNAcentral describes it as "HSALNT0054691". The record is from RNAcentral. Lineage: Eukaryota; Metazoa; Chordata; Mammalia; Primates; Hominidae.